UCGAACGGUAACGCGGGGCAACCUGGCGACGAGUGGCGAACGGGUGAGUAAUGCAUCGGAACGUGCCCAGUAGUGGGGGAUAGCCCGGCGAAAGCCGGAUUAAUACCGCAUACGACCUAAGGGUGAAAGCGGGGGAUCGCAAGACCUCGCGCUAUUGGAGCGGCCGAUGUCAGAUUAGGUUGUUGGUGGGGUAAAAGCCCACCAAGCCGACGAUCUGUAGCUGGUCUGAGAGGACGACCAGCCACACUGGGACUGAGACACGGCCCAGACUCCUACGGGAGGCAGCAGUGGGGAAUUUUGGACAAUGGGCGCAAGCCUGAUCCAGCCAUGCCGCGUGCGGGAAGAAGGCCUUCGGGUUGUAAACCGCUUUUGUCAGGGAAGAAAUCCUCUGGGCUAACACCCCGGGGGGAUGACGGUACCUGGAGAAUAAGCACCGGCUAACUACGUGCCAGCAGCCGCGGUAAUACGUAGGGUGCAAGCGUUAAUCGGAAUUACUGGGCGUAAAGCGUGCGCAGGCGGUUGUGCAAGACAGAUGUGAAAUCCCCGGGCUUAACCUGGGAACUGCAUUUGUGACUGCACGGCUGGAGUGCGGCAGAGGGGGAUGGAAUUCCGCGUGUAGCAGUGAAAUGCGUAGAUAUGCGGAGGAACACCGAUGGCGAAGGCAAUCCCCUGGGCCUGCACUGACGCUCAUGCACGAAAG
This 700-nucleotide ribosomal RNA is filed under the name uncultured Burkholderiales bacterium. Its description in RNAcentral is "bacterial SSU rRNA". It matches the Rfam family "Bacterial small subunit ribosomal RNA", at positions 62 to 759 of the family's 1533-position model. The record is from RNAcentral. Lineage: Bacteria; Pseudomonadati; Pseudomonadota; Betaproteobacteria; Burkholderiales.